GGCGGCAGGCCUAACACAUGCAAGUCGAACGGCAGCACAGAGGAGCUUGCUCCUUGGGUGGCGAGUGGCGGACGGGUGAGGAAUGCGUCGAAUCUGCCUUUUUGUGGGGGAUAACGUAGGGAAACUUACGCUAAUACCGCAUACGACCUACGGGUGAAAGUGGGGGACCGCAAGGCCUCACGCAGAUAGAUGAGCCGACGCCGGAUUAGCUAGUUGGCGGGGUAAAGGCCCACCAAGGCGACGAUCCGUAGCUGGUCUGAGAGGAUGAUCAGCCACACUGGGACUGAGACACGGCCCAGACUCCUACGGGAGGCAGCAGUGGGGAAUAUUGGACAAUGGGCGCAAGCCUGAUCCAGCCAUGCCGCGUGUGUGAAGAAGGCCUUCGGGUUGUAAAGCACUUUUGUCCGGAAAGAAAUCCAAUCGAUUAAUACUCGGUUGGGAUGACGGUACCGGAAGAGUAAGCACCGGCUAACUUCGUGCCAGCAGCCGCGGUAAUACGAAGGGUGCAAGCGUUACUCGGAAUUACUGGGCGUAAAGCGUGCGUAGGUGGUUGGUUAAGUCUGAUGUGAAAGCCCUGGCUCAACCUGGGAACUGCAUUGGAUACUGGCUUACUAG
RNAcentral lists this ribosomal RNA (615 nucleotides) under bacterium. RNAcentral describes it as "bacterial SSU rRNA". It matches the Rfam family "Bacterial small subunit ribosomal RNA", at positions 38 to 644 of the family's 1533-position model. The record is from RNAcentral.